ACGGGAGGCAGCAGUGGGGAAUAUUGGGCAAUGGGCGCAAGCCUGACCCAGCAAUGCCGCGUGAAGGAAGAAGGCUUUCGGGUUGUAAACUUCUUUUAAGUGGGACGAUAAUGACGGUACCACUUGAAUAAGCUCCGGCUAACUACGUGCCAGCAGCCGCGGUAAUACGUAGGGAGCAAGCGUUAUCCGGAUUUACUGGGUGUAAAGGGCGUGUAGGCGGGACAUCAAGUCAGAUGUGAAAGCACGAGGCUCAACUUCGUGUCUGCAUUUGAAACUGUAGAACUAGAGUGUCGGAGGGGUAGGUGGAAUUCCUAGUGUAGCGGUGAAAUGCGUAGAUAUUAGGAGGAACACCAGUGGCGAAGGCGGCUUACUGGACGAUUACUGACGCUGAGGCUCGAAAGCGUGGGGAGCAAACAGGAUUAGAUACCCUGGUA
RNAcentral lists this ribosomal RNA (434 nucleotides) under uncultured Pseudoflavonifractor sp. RNAcentral's name for it is "partial 16S ribosomal RNA". It matches the Rfam family "Bacterial small subunit ribosomal RNA", at positions 341 to 792 of the family's 1533-position model. Lineage: Bacteria; Bacillati; Bacillota; Clostridia; Eubacteriales; Oscillospiraceae. The record is from RNAcentral.